Molecule: unclassified non-coding RNA, 242 nt
Filed under: Hevea brasiliensis (rubber tree)
Lineage: Eukaryota; Viridiplantae; Streptophyta; Magnoliopsida; Malpighiales; Euphorbiaceae
Source: RNAcentral
GAUAAAGGGAUAAGGGCUUCUGCCAAAUGCUUUUCAUCAAGAUCAACUUGACUUUUUUCCUCAGUCAGACGGUCCAACUCUUCUUCUGCCUUCCUAACAUCACGCAAAGUAUUAGCUGCUUUCACUUUUUCCUCUCUUAGAGUGUGCCACCUUAUCUGAAUGUUGGCCAAAUCAUUUUCCAUAUAUCUUUGUUCAUCCCUUAGCUUCUCCAGUUCAUUGUGUAAACCAUCUUUGGUGUUUUG